GCUGCCUUCCAGUUGCCAUGCUUCCUGCCGUGAUGGCCAAAGGCUCUAACCAUCUGGAACUGGCCGCAUUGCUUAAUGAAAAGAACCAAACGUCCCUAUCAUAAAGCAUUCCAGCUGUUGAAUGACCCUGAGCCACACUGUGGGACGGUGUGCUUUAGGAAGUGAAAAGGGAUCCCGUGUCCAGUUGAACCUUCGAGGAGAAAAGGGACCGCAAGUCCGACAGCAGAUAAGCCCGGCCUUUGUCCAAAUGUGCCCAGGAAACUAGCUUCAGAAACAGCAAAUGAAAUCCAGAC
Molecule: long non-coding RNA, 293 nt
Organism: Alexandromys fortis (reed vole)
Lineage: Eukaryota; Metazoa; Chordata; Mammalia; Rodentia; Cricetidae
Exons: 3
Source: RefSeq, a predicted model, not a curated record